AUCCUCUACAGACUCUUCAUCUCUCCCCUUUCCACCAGCGACCCUCUGCCCCCCAAACGCGACCCAAAUACUCCGCUCCCCAACUCUAGUCACAACCCCCUCCGGGGCCUUAUCCUUUCUCUCCUCCUCCUUUGAUCCUCUUGCCCUACCGCCACCACCCCGAGUUCCCGCCGCCACAUCCUCAACUCUCACGACAUCGCCCACCCUCAUCCCAUGAGCGCCCAACCUCUGCGCUCCACCAUCACCGUUCCCACCAUCACCAUUGCUAUCCUUUCCACCCCUCGCCCCAGAUCCAAUUGCACUGUCCACGCCGAAUUCGCCUACCUCACGUCCACCCAUUCCCGUCCGACAAUUGAUGAGAACAAGGCCUAUGAGUGCAUAGCCUGCGGCUUGCA
RNAcentral lists this small RNA (395 nucleotides) under Histoplasma capsulatum. RNAcentral describes it as "hypothetical RNA". The record is from RNAcentral. Lineage: Eukaryota; Fungi; Ascomycota; Eurotiomycetes; Onygenales; Ajellomycetaceae. RNAcentral also lists the same sequence under 1 other name.